Molecule: ribosomal RNA, 451 nt
Filed under: uncultured organism
Description: partial 16S ribosomal RNA
Rfam family: Bacterial small subunit ribosomal RNA
Source: RNAcentral
UACACUCCUGCGGGAGGCAGCAGUGGGGAAUAUUGGACAAUGGGCGCAAGCCUGAUCCAGCCAUGCCGCGUGAGUGAUGAAGGCCCUAGGGUUGUAAAGCUCUUUUGUGCGGGAAGAUAAUGACGGUACCGCAAGAAUAAGCCCCGGCUAACUUCGUGCCAGCAGCCGCGGUAAUACGAAGGGGGCUAGCGUUGCUCGGAAUCACUGGGCGUAAAGGGUGCGUAGGCGGGUCUUUAAGUCAGGGGUGAAAUCCUGGAGCUCAACUCCAGAACUGCCUUUGAUACUGAAGAUCUUGAGUUCGGGAGAGGUGAGUGGAACUGCGAGUGUAGAGGUGAAAUUCGUAGAUAUUCGCAAGAACACCAGUGGCGAAGGCGGCUCACUGGCCCGAUACUGACGCUGAGGCACGAAAGCGUGGGGAGCAAACAGGAUUAGAAACCCCGGUAGUCCCAUG